UAUUCGUUUUCCGCCGAACGAGACGGAGAAGGGCCGAGCAGCAGGGCAGCUGUCGAGUGUCGUCUUGGCACUUACAGUCCCAUAAAAGUGCAGUAAACGAGGCUCCUAAACGGCGGACACUGCAAGAUAAGGCAUCCCUUCCUCCUCUGCUCCUUCUCCUUGGGCAUGUUUAUUUCUCUCGCUCCCCACGUUGCUGUCUCUCUGGCUGUCUGCUGUGGCUGUGACCUGUCUGGGCUUUGACGCGUCUGUUUGCACCGCAUCUGAGGCGACGCUGCCUCCCACAUCCAGCAUAUACGACGCGCCGCUUUAUGUCCUCCAAGCCGGUGUAGGACUGCGCCAGAAACGCCGGCUGACGAACCCAACGUGUUCAACGUGUUUUGCAGGUCUGAGUGUGAAUUACCGUCUGCGGGGCGUGGCGAUUCUGAUCGGUACUGUAAGGCGGAAAAGGAGGAUGGCAGGGUGAAGGAGGAGGAGGAGGAAAAAAGGAAGGAAGAAGAAGGAAGAGAGGAGGGUGAUGGGUAUUCAUCAUGAAUGAUUUAUUAGUCUGGCAUUACUGGGCCCUUCCCCACAGAGAGACAGAGCAAGAGGAAGAUGGAGAGAUAAACUCAUGAAGGAUGGUGCCUUGAAGGGAAAAAUAGAAACUG
Molecule: long non-coding RNA, 644 nt
Organism: Xiphophorus maculatus (southern platyfish)
Lineage: Eukaryota; Metazoa; Chordata; Actinopteri; Cyprinodontiformes; Poeciliidae
Exons: 2
Source: RefSeq, a predicted model, not a curated record